UUAGAUUCCUUCGUGCAGCAUCGAAAAACGUCCUCAAAUUUAGAACUUGUCACUCUAUCAGCUGUGGUAGAAGGGGAAGAAGUGUCUGGGUCAUCUUCUGUCGCACCGACACCAAAAAAAAGGAAGGAAGAAGUGAACAUGCGGAUUUUGAAAAUUCUUGAGGAGGAGAAGGAUGAUGAUCCAGACAAAUUCUUCCUUCUUUCACUUCUACCACAGCUGAAAAGACUGUCUCCUGAGCGUGCUUCAUCAACAAAGAUGAAAAUCAUGCAAUUACUCCAUGAGGCUGAAUUUGAGAAAUGAUUCAAAUUCAAUUUCCCACUUAAAAAUUAGAAAAUAAAUUCAAACGUUUUUUUAUCUUAAUUACAGUACAUUACUAAAUUUAAUUGACUCCGUACAAACUUGAGCAACCUUCUCUAAACAAGAACUCAAUUUUCUAAAAAUUUUAAUGUUUUUUAUUGUUAGUUUACCUCAACCAUUUUAUUAUUUGUUCAGGCAGUAUGCUUUUUCAUUCUGGCUAUUUCUCAUUACAGCUUCAUGGAGUAUUUGCAUGAUUUUCAUCUUUCUGCUGCUGUUUAUUUUCUUUUAUCAAGCACAAAUUCUUUUUUCAAU
Styela clava is the source of this 609-nucleotide non-coding RNA. The record is from RefSeq and is a predicted model, not a curated record. Lineage: Eukaryota; Metazoa; Chordata; Ascidiacea; Stolidobranchia; Styelidae.